GGUCUAGUUAAGCAUUAUACAGCGAAACUGCGAAUGGCUCAUUAAAUCAGUUAUCGUUUAUUUGAUAGUACCUUACUACUUGGAUAACCGUGGUAAUUCUAGAGCUAAUACAUGCUAAAAACCCCGACUCACGAAGGGGUGUAUUUAUUAGAUAAAAACCAAUGCCCUUCGGGGCUCUUUGGUGAUUCAUAAUAACUUUUCGAAUCGCAUGGCCUUGCGCCGGCGAUGGUUCAUUCAAAUUUUGCCCUAUCAACUUUCGAUGGCAGGUCUUGGCCUGCCAUGGACAACGGUUAAGGGGAAUGG
RNAcentral lists this ribosomal RNA (303 nucleotides) under Pestalotiopsis jesteri. RNAcentral describes it as "SSU rRNA". It matches the Rfam family "Eukaryotic small subunit ribosomal RNA", at positions 57 to 372 of the family's 1831-position model. The record is from RNAcentral. Lineage: Eukaryota; Fungi; Ascomycota; Sordariomycetes; Amphisphaeriales; Sporocadaceae.